RNAcentral lists this ribosomal RNA (2791 nucleotides) under Leptolyngbyaceae cyanobacterium SM2_5_2. RNAcentral's name for it is "23S ribosomal RNA". It matches the Rfam family "Bacterial large subunit ribosomal RNA". Lineage: Bacteria; Bacillati; Cyanobacteriota. The record is from RNAcentral.
AGCGAAUAAGGGCACACGGGGGAUGCCUUGGCGUCAAGUGCCGAAGAAGGACGUGGUACACUGCGAAAAGCUCCGGUAAGGCGUGUGCAGCCGCGAAAGCCGGAGAUGUCCGAAUGGGGAAACCCGGCGUAUGCAAGUACGUCACCCGCAAGGGAGGGAACCGGGCGAAGUGAAACAUCUGAGUAGCCUGAGGAAAAGAGAAGAUUCUGCGAGUAGUGGCGAGCGAAAGCGGAACAGGCCAAACCGCUGGACGAGUCCAGCGGGGUUGAAGGACUCCCGCCGAAAGUAGACCAGGGGAAGGGUGUGGGAAAGCCCACCAGAGAGGGUGAGAGUCCCGUACCUGGCGUCGAAAAAGGGAGGAUCCUGAGUACCACGCGGCACGCUAACCGUGUGGGAAGCUGGGAGGUCCACCUUCCAAGCCUAAAUACACUUGACGACCGAUAGCGGAAAAGUACCGUGAGGGAAAGGUGAAAAGAACCCCAGCGCGGGGAGUGAAAGAGAAUCUGAAACCGUGUGCUUACAACCGGUCAGAGGGGGCAACCCUGAUGGCGUGCCUUUUGGAGAAUGAGCCUGCGAGUUAAUGGAUGUGGCGAGCUUAAGGCAGGGACAGCCGGAGGCGAAGCGAAAGCGAGUCUGAAGAGGGCGCGAAGUGGCAUUCAUUAGACACGAAACCGGGUGAGCUACCCAUGGGCAGGGUGAAGCGCGCCUAAUAGCGCGUAGAGGCCCGCACUCACUAACAUUGCAAAGUUAGGGGAUGACCUGUGGGUAGAGGUGAUAUGCCAAACGAACUCGGAGAUAGCUUGUUCUCCCCGAAAUAGCUUUAGGGCUAGCGUUAGAGGAGAGUGCCGGAGGUAGAGCACUGGAUGGGCUAGGGGGUCAUAGACUUACUGAACCCAACCAAACUCCGAAUGCCGGACACUUACCGAUGGCAGUCGGACGGCGUGAGAUGAGUUUCGUCGUCGAGAGGGAAAGAACCCAGACCCGCGGCUAAGGUCCUGAAGUCACCGCUAAGUGGGAAACGAUGUGGGCGUGUUGAGACAGCCAGGAGGUUGGCUUAGAAGCAGCCACCCUUUAAAGAGUGCGUAACAGCUCACUGGUCAAACGCGGCUGCGCGGAAAAUGUAACGGGGCUGAAGCGGUGCACCGAAGCCAGGGACUUCGCAAGAAGUGGUAGGGGAGCGUUGUGAUUGCGGAGAAGGCUGGCUGGCAAGGCUGGUUGGAGCGGUCACAAGUGCGAAUGCAGGCAUGAGUAGCGAAAAGAUGUGAGAACCAUCUUCGCCGAAGGUCUAAGGGUUCCGACGGAAGGUCAGUCCGCGUCGGGUUAGUCGGGCCUAAGCCGAGGCUGAGAAGCGUAGGCGAUGGACAACGGGCAAAAAUUCCCGUACUUGUUGUGGGAGUGCAAGCGAACACCCUGGGAAGGCUCAGCCGCUGAGUGGAUGGCGGUGGUAAACGGUUAACGACCGUGAAGCCGGGCGCAAGCCAGAAGUGAGCGGGACCUGGGGUCAAGAAAAGGCGCUUGGACGAUGAAAGCAGCAAACCGUACCGCAAACCGACACAGGUGGACAGGUAGAGUAUACCCAGGCGAACGGGAAAACCCUCGUUAAGGAAUUAGGCAAAAAGGCCCCGUAACUUCGGGAGAAGGGCGCCAGUGAGAGCUGGCCGCAGUGAAGAGGCUCUAUCGACUGUUUACCAAAAACACAGGUCUGUGCGAACGCGGAAGCGGACGUAUACGGGCUGACGCCUGCCCAGUGCCGGAAGGUUAAAAGGAGGGGUUCACGCUCUGAAUUGAAGCCCCGGUGAACGGCGGCCGUAACUAUAACGGUCCUAAGGUAGCGAAAUUCCUUGUCGGGUAAGUUCCGACCCGCACGAAAGGCGUAACGAGUGGAGCACUGUCUCAACGAGGGACCCGGCGAAAUUGAAGUACGUGUAAAGAUGCGCGUUACCCGCAGCAGGACAAAAAGACCCCGUGGAGCUUUACUGUAGCCUGCCAUUGCGUUAGGGUGGUGUUUGUGUAGGGUAGCUGGGAGGCGGAGAAGCCUGGUCGCUAGAUUGGGUGGAGCCGACGAUGAAACACCAGCCUGAGACCACUUUGGCCCUAACCUGGGUUGUGGAGACGUGGGGACAGUGGCAGGUGGGCAGUUUGACUGGGGCGGUCGCCUCCGAAAAGGUAACGGAGGCGCCCAAAGGUUGGCUCAGGCGGAAUGGAAACCCGCCGCAGAGUGUAAAGGCAAAAGCCAGCUUGACUGCGAGGCCAACGCGCCGAGCAGAGACGAAAGUCGGGCUUAGUGAUCCUACGGCGCUGAGUGGAAAGGCCGUAGCUUACCGGAUAAAAGCUACCCCGGGGAUAACAGGCUAGUCUUGUCCAAGAGUUCACAUCGACGACAAGGCUCGGCACCUCGAUGUCGGCUCAUCGCAUCCUGGGGCUGGACAAGGUCCCAAGGGUUGGGCUGUUCGCCCAUUAAAGCGGUACGUGAGCUGGGUUCAGACCGUCGUGAGACAGGUCGGUCUCUAUCCGCUGUGGGCGAAGGGAGUUUGAGAGGGGCUGCCCCUAGUACGAGAGGACCGGGGUGGACGCAGCGCUGGUGUGCCGGUUGUUUUGCCAGAAGCAGAGCCGGGUAGCUAGCUGUGGAACAGAUAACCGCUGAAAGCAUCUAAGUGGGAAACUGGCCUCAAGAUAAGACUCCCCAUGACAAAAAGUCAGUAAGACCGCUGGGAGACGACCAGUUGGAUAGGCCGGGGGUGGAAGCACAGUAAUGUGUGGAGCUGACCGGUACUAAAGGUCGAGGGCUACU